UUUGACAGGAACUGGAUUUUUUGGUGCCUGAACACUUGAAAAUCUGACCUCAGGAGGCUUCUCAAGAACACUAAGCUUUUCCCACAGAACAGGUGAAAGAAAUUCACUUCAUUGUCAUGGAUCAACCUGACAGCAUCCUAGACAGGUGACUGCUGAUCUCAUUGAAUGUGGAAGUUAACAAGAAGACAGCAAAGGCAAAUAACAGACUUGCUUCAGAUUAAAGCUCCAUUUGGCUUUGGCAUUUUGGCAGCUUUCAGAGCGUGAGACCAUUCAUCCUGGUUUGAUCCUCAUUUCAACUCCAUAUUUUUUCUUUCUUC
This 317-nucleotide long non-coding RNA is filed under the name Calidris pugnax (ruff). RNAcentral describes it as "lncRNA (ENSCPUG00000009453.1)". Lineage: Eukaryota; Metazoa; Chordata; Aves; Charadriiformes; Scolopacidae. The record is from RNAcentral.